CAGAAAAUAGUUUAACAAAAAUAUUAAUCUUGGGGAUUGAAGUUAUAAAUUUUAUUUUUUUGA
RNAcentral lists this transfer RNA (63 nucleotides) under Eupelmus sp. ZJUH_2016012. Its description in RNAcentral is "tRNA-Pro". The record is from RNAcentral. Lineage: Eukaryota; Metazoa; Arthropoda; Insecta; Hymenoptera; Eupelmidae.